This 494-nucleotide ribosomal RNA is filed under the name Alternaria sp. RNAcentral's name for it is "eukaryotic LSU rRNA". The stretch from base 132 to 285 matches the Rfam family "5.8S ribosomal RNA". Lineage: Eukaryota; Fungi; Ascomycota; Dothideomycetes; Pleosporales; Pleosporaceae. The record is from RNAcentral.
UUACAGCCUUGCUGAAUUAUUCACCCUUGUCUUUUGCGUACUUCUUGUUUCCUUGGUGGGUUCGCCCACCACUAGGACAAACAUAAACCUUUUGUAAUUGCAAUCAGCGUCAGUAACAAAUUAAUAAUUACAACUUUCAACAACGGAUCUCUUGGUUCUGGCAUCGAUGAAGAACGCAGCGAAAUGCGAUAAGUAGUGUGAAUUGCAGAAUUCAGUGAAUCAUCGAAUCUUUGAACGCACAUUGCGCCCUUUGGUAUUCCAAAGGGCAUGCCUGUUCGAGCGUCAUUUGUACCCUCAAGCUUUGCUUGGUGUUGGGCGUCUUGUCUCUAGCUUUGCUGGAGACUCGCCUUAAAGUAAUUGGCAGCCGGCCUACUGGUUUCGGAGCGCAGCACAAGUCGCACUCUCUAUCAGCAAAGGUCUAGCAUCCAUUAAGCCUUUUUUUCAACUUUUGACCUCGGAUCAGGUAGGGAUACCCGCUGAACUUAAGCAUAUCA